CUUCUUUGGUCUGAGGUCCACAGGAUAUCUCAGACAGCAGCGUUGGAAUAGAGGAGUAAGAGAGCAAUGUCUUGUUGGGUUGAGGGGGAUCCUGUGCGGCGACGACGGCGGCCCUAAGAGAGGAGGUGCGUAGAGGGCGUGUGGGCGUGGUGGAGGCGUGCGGUCGCCUAAGGCGCGAGGUGGCCGCCGGCGGUCGCGAGGUCGAAGCUGUCGGUGAUAGCCGGGGAAAAAGACCAAAAAGUCUAGUCUAACCGAGGCAGUGAGGAGGGCGAGCUCCGGCGGCAGCGUCGAGCUCGGAGCUCGUGGCGGCAGCGACGUGGGGGGAAGUGGAGGUUUAGUCUGUGCCCAGCCAGAGCGCGCGCUCGUCCGCGGCGGGUGCCGGGCGUCGGGGACUCGUUGUACAGUUGCGGGUGCCGGGUGGCGCAACAGCUCGCAGAGGCCGUUUCAGCGCGGCAGCGUCUAUCUCUCCUGGUACCGGCGGACUUCGGGCUCGCGGCGGCCGCAGGUCUGGGGAGGUGCGGUAGGGGUAGAGCGGCUUCUGGACGUAGUUCAGAGGGUAGGUCGCGGGCGCGGUGGGAAGCCGGGGGCGGGGCGUCGAGAUGUGGUGCUCACGAAGCCAGCGGAGCGCUGGGCGGCCACAGGUCUGGGGGAGGUGUAGUAGGGGUAGAGCGUCUUCUGGACGUAUUUCAGGGCAGGUCGCGGGCACGGUGGGUAGCGGGAGCGGGGCGACGAGACGAUAAGCUCGCGAAGUUGGCGGAGCACGGGCUUCGUCUCCUCUCCUCGAGGGACGGUGCUCGGAGAGGUCGCGGCCGUCGUGAAGUCGGCGGAGCACGGGCUUCGUCUCCACUCCUCGAGGGGGACGGUGCUCGGAGAGGUCGCGGCCGUUUGGUCGUCCCGCGGGGAAGGAACCGAGGAUGCCGCACCUGUGGCCGCCGUUCGACGCCGGGGCCGCUACCCUUGCGUUUACCUAUCGCCGCCACCAAGGGCCACCACUUCAAAUUAUUUCCUAGCCCCCAUCUUAACAUUGAUUGCGUCCCCACAAAAAUGCUUAUACUUCGUAAAAAAAUCUAUGGGUGAAUUUUGUCAUGAAACCCAACUUAUUGAUUUUAUCAUCCCCCAAAAGACGUUUUUGCCGCUGCUGCAUGCUGGUCUUCGUGAGCCACGAAAUAAUCAUCCAUCUCUGAUCAUGUUUACGGGCACGCAACGUGGCCCACUAUUUUCACCAUCUUGGAUGAACUACCAAGUAAAAAGCAGUAUAAAAUAUAGGUUAAAAUUAUUUACAACUUGCACCUUUAAAGGAAAAAAAAUUAUUUUGAAAUUAUAAAGUAUAUUUUACACAACGGUGCCCUUUACUUAACUUG
Molecule: ribosomal RNA, 1361 nt
Filed under: Triticum aestivum (bread wheat)
Lineage: Eukaryota; Viridiplantae; Streptophyta; Magnoliopsida; Poales; Poaceae
Description: partial small subunit ribosomal RNA
Source: RNAcentral